This 1285-nucleotide ribosomal RNA is filed under the name metagenome. RNAcentral's name for it is "bacterial LSU rRNA". It matches the Rfam family "Bacterial large subunit ribosomal RNA", at positions 926 to 2327 of the family's 2925-position model. The record is from RNAcentral.
CCCUCACCGGAUUACCAAACCUAACCAAACUCCGAAUACCCAGAAGUACUACUCGGGAGACAGACGGUGGGUGCUAACGUCCAUCGUCAAGAGGGAAACAACCCUGACCUACAGCUAAGGUCCCUAAGUCAUGGUUAAGUUGGAAAGCAUGUGGGAAUGCUUAGACAACCAGGAGGUUGGCUUAGAAGCAGCCAUCCUUUAAAGAUAGCGUAACAGCUCACUGGUCAAGCGUUCCUGCGGCGAAGAUGUACGGGGAUUAAACCAUGCACCGAAGCUUAGGGUGUGCAGUAAUGCACGCGGUAGCGGAGCGUUCCGUAAGCCGAUGAAGCCGUACCUGUGAGGGGCGGUGGAGGUAUCGGAAGUGCGAAUGAUGACACGAGUAACGACAAACAGUGUGAGAGACACUGUCGCCGAAAGUCCAAGGGUUCCUGCGCAAUGCUAAUCAGCGCAGGGUUAGCCGGCCCCUAAGUCGAGGCGGAAACGCGUAGACGAUGGGAACCACGUUAAUAUUCGUGGGCCUGGUGGAAGUGACGGAUCGCGCAGAGCUGUAUCCCCUUAUUGGAUUGGGGGUGCAUCGAGCCGGUUCCAGGAAAUAGCUCCACCUUAUAGACCGUACCCGAAACCGACACAGGUGGACUGGUAGAGCAUACCAAGGCGCUUGAGAGAACGAUGCUGAAGGAACUCGGCAAAUUGCACGCGUAACUUCGGGAUAAGCGUGACUUCGUUCCGGGCAACCGGUUCGGAGUGGCACAGAAUUGGGGGUAGCGACUGUGUACUAAAAACACAGGGCUCUGCGAAGCCGCAAGGCGACGUAUAGGGCCUGACGCCUGCCCGGUGCCGGAAGGUUAAAUGGAGGGGUGCAAGCUCUGAAAUGAAGCCCCGGUAAACGGCGGCCGUAACAAUAACGGUCCUAAGGUAGCGAAAUUCCUUGUCGGGUAAGUUCCGACCUGCACGAAUGGCGUAACGACUUCCCCACUGUCUCCAGCAUCGACUCAGUGAAACUGAAUUCCUCGUGAAGAUGCGAGGUUCCUGCGGUUAGACGGAAAGACCCCAUGCACCUUUACUAUAGCUUUGCGUUGGCAUUCGUGUCGGGAUGUGUAGGAUAGGUGGUAGGCUAUGAAGUCAGGACGCCAGUUCUGAUGGAGCCGCAAGAUGAAAUACCACCCUUUUUGACAUGAGCGUCUAACCGCGGCAUAACAGUGCCCGGAACAGCGCAUGGUGGGUAGUUUGACUGGGGCGGUCGCCUCCCAAAGAGUAACGGAGGCGCGCGAUGGUUGGCUCAGUG